GACGAACGCUGGCGGCGUGCCUAAUACAUGCAAGUAGAACGCUGAAGGAGGAGCUUGCUCUUCUGGAUGAGUUGCGAACGGGUGAGUAACGCGUAGGUAACCUGCCUGGUAGCGGGGGAUAACUAUUGGAAACGAUAGCUAAUACCGCAUAAGAGUAGAUGUUGCAUGACAUUUACUUAAAAGGUGCAAUUGCAUCACUACCAGAUGGACCUGCGUUGUAUUAGCUAGUUGGUGGGGUAACGGCUCACCAAGGCGACGAUACAUAGCCGACCUGAGAGGGUGAUCGGCCACACUGGGACUGAGACACGGCCCAGACUCCUACGGGAGGCAGCAGUAGGGAAUCUUCGGCAAUGAACGGAAGUCUGACCGAGCAACGCCGCGUGAGUGAAGAAGGUUUUCGGAUCGUAAAGCUCUGUUGUAAGAGAAGAACGAGUGUGAGAGUGGAAAGUUCACACUGUGACG
RNAcentral lists this ribosomal RNA (462 nucleotides) under Streptococcus mitis. RNAcentral's name for it is "bacterial SSU rRNA". It matches the Rfam family "Bacterial small subunit ribosomal RNA", at positions 28 to 474 of the family's 1533-position model. The record is from RNAcentral. Lineage: Bacteria; Bacillati; Bacillota; Bacilli; Lactobacillales; Streptococcaceae.